RNAcentral lists this long non-coding RNA (334 nucleotides) under Parus major (Great Tit). Its description in RNAcentral is "lncRNA (ENSPMJG00000019759.1)". The record is from RNAcentral. Lineage: Eukaryota; Metazoa; Chordata; Aves; Passeriformes; Paridae.
GGGGCUGGCUGCCUUUCCCAAGCACAUCUCCCUGCAAGGAACCCAGAUUUGAUGAAAUCCAAUGCCCUGACAUUACAGUGACCGCUUUGGCUCCAUGGGGCUCAACUCAGACAGAGGUUUGCAGGAAAAUUUGCCAUGCCUGGGUCAUGUGGAUAUCUGAAGCAGGCUGCCCUCCUUUCCAUCUCUUCAGUGCUAAGCAAUGAUCAGCACCCCAUGAAGUUUGGAGAGGAAAUAUACAUAAAGCCUGCGGAGCGUGUUUUCAGACCUGUCCUUAGACAUGACAUUUGCAGAUGAAAUGAUACAUCACUGGACCACACAGUUAUCACAAUCAGCA